Long non-coding RNA from Heterocephalus glaber (naked mole-rat), 1992 nucleotides. The record is from Ensembl. Lineage: Eukaryota; Metazoa; Chordata; Mammalia; Rodentia; Bathyergidae.
CUCUUAUGUUUUAUAACAUUUUCAUGUCAUUUAUACUUAGUGCUAAAUUAAUUCUCAAGUGCAGAAGUAGAUAUGUAAGUGGUUUUCUGAUUCUGAUAUAUAUUUUCGUGUUAAAAAUUAUGCUGCUCAAUUAGCAUUAGAGGCCUUAUGUUUGGUAAUUAUAAGUGUCUGGGCUACAUGAGUCUCUAUAUGUGCUCGCUUUGUUCCAGUUUCUUCAAAUCCUCUAUGUAUUACCUGUAUCAAAUAUUUAAAAAGUAAAGGGGUCAAAGAAGAUUGUUAAAUAUUCAACAAGAAUCCUAAAUAUCUUUAUAUAUAUAUAUAUAUAUAUUUUAAAUGUAUUGGGCUGUUUUGAACAUGAUUUUGCUGGUCUGUCUGCCUUUUAGCCUGACUCCUUCACUCUAGUGUAUGGAAGUCUGUCAGAAACUUUUUCAAGUAAUAUUGUUCUUUGCAAAAAAAAGCUUCCACUCUGAGAAACAGGGCCUUAUAGAGCAGGAAUGUUUUCAUACUAGGACUACUAAGAUUUGCAGAUGUGUGCAUCUGUUCCAUUUAAGGUAUCCUUAAACAUGUUGAAUGUAAUGUGUUGAAUGUUUAUGUGUAAUGCUAAAGUAUCCAUAUGUAUGUGCAUAAGAGUGUCACAAGAUGUAUUCUCAGGAAUACUGUUACCUGGAGUUUGAAGGAAUAACUAUUUUUAAAAAUCAACAGUUGGGCACGAUAAGGAAAAAGUUCAAGGUAAUUCACAAUCUUUUGUUAAGUUCAAAAUAUUAUUGAGUACAUGACAAAAAACUAUUAAUAUGAAAAAUACAGUAGUGAUAAUUGAUCAUUUCUUAAGCCAUGAUGAUUAAUGAUAUUUAUCUUCUUCAGAGAAAAAAUUAAACAAGCACCCACUCCCAUGUAUAAAAAAAAAUGGACUCAACAAAGAGGUUGCUUUUUCUGAAAUUAACUUUUGAGAGACAUUAGCAUAAACAUGCAUCAUCCAUGAUAGUGGGUGCAGAUUUAUACUACUCAGAUUCAAACCAGUUCAAAUCCCAGAUACAGAAUUUUCUAUAGCAAAUAUUUUGCUUUCAUUUUUCAGUAUUUGCUGCUUUCUAUAAUUCUAUUAGAUGAGUUAUUUGAUUCUUCUGAAAAGGAAAUAAGUUAUUGAGCACUUUGGAACAAGGCACUAAGAACUAUAGUGUCAAAAGACAUCAAUGGGCACAUGGCAAUGCUGAGGGAAAAUGUGUGGUACUGGUGAUCUCAUUAGGCCUAUUACAGAGGCCAGGAGUAUCUGGUUUGCUACUUCAGGCUUCGAGUACCUGAGACAAGAAGACAUCUCCUCUCUUCUUUAGCAUCUGUUCCUUUGAUUGGCAAAGAACUUUGUCCACUCUGUUUCCCAGCUCUGAGAGUUUCUGAGAUAAGAAGAGGGUUUAUAGAGAGAUUAUAGGGGAAAAAGGUGUCAUAAAUGGAAUAGAAUUAUAGUCUAAAACAUGAAUCAAGAUAUACAGAUAUUUUAAUAGAGCACAGUCUCCAGAAUUUGCUGCUAUUAUAUUGAGUCAUACUGUUUCCCUGUGACCUCAUAUUUCCCAGUUGCACAGCCUUGUGUCUUAGCAGUGAGUCGAAUGUCCCACUUCCUCAUUUACUUUAGUGGGCCUCAACUGCAGCAUUUCAGAAGCAAACAUUGAUUUGACACUCAGGAGAAUAAAACAAGUUGAGAACCGAAUGUAUUUGGAAAAGCUUCAGAUAAAUUUACUUGUAUUAUUUUAGGAUCAUUUAGGAUUACAGAUCUAUGUACCUCCAUGAUAUUUUUUAAUAGUCACUGUGACCACAGGAUGCAAGUACUUUGUUAGCCAUUUUAUAGGUAAAAAUGAAGGAUUGACUACACAGCCAACUUCCCUCAAAUGACUAUGAAAUCUUAUGAAUACUGAAUGACCAAAGAGCAUGGAAAAAAUGCAUAAGAAUAAAUACUGAAAUGUUUAUGAAAGAUAUUUAUGAAAGAUAUGAAGUAUUCUGUGUUUG